GGUUACUGCUAUCGGUGUUCGCCUAAGCCAUGCGAGUCAUAUGUUCGUAAGAACAUGGCGUACUGCUCAGUAACACGUGGAUAACCUGCCCUUGGGUCCGGCAUAACCCCGGGAAACUGGGGAUAAUUCCGGAUAACGCACAUAUGCUGGAAUGCUUUUUGCGUAAAAUGGAUUCGUCUGCCCAAGGAUGGGUCUGCGGCCUAUCAGGUAGUAGUGGGUGUAAUGUACCUACUAGCCUACGACGGGUACGGGUUGUGAGAGCAAGAGCCCGGAGAUGGAUUCUGAGACAUGAAUCCAGGCCCUACGGGGCGCAGCAGGCGCGAAAACUUUACAAUGCGGGAAACCGUGAUAAGGGGACACCGAGUGCCAGCAUCCUAUGCUGGCUGUCCGGGUGUGUAAAAUACACCCGUUAGCAAUGGCCGGGCAAGACCGGUGCCAGCCGCCGCGGUAACACCGGCGGCCCGAGUGGUGAUCGUGAUUAUUGGGUCUAAAGGGUCCGUAGCCGGUUUGGUCAGUCCUCCGGGAAAUCUGACAGCUCAACUGUUAGGCUAUCGGAGGAUACUGCCAGACUUGGAACCGGGAGAGGUAAGAGGUACUACAGGGGUAGGAGUGAAAUCUUGUAAUCCCUGUGGGACCACCUGUGGCGAAGGCGUCUUACCAGAACGGGUUCGACGGUGAGGGACGAAAGCUGGGGGCACGAACCGGAUUAGAUACCCGGGUAGUCCCAGCCGUAAACGAUGCUCGCUAGGUGUCAGGCAUGGCGCGACCGUGUCUGGUGCCGCAGGGAAGCCGUGAAGCGAGCCACCUGGGAAGUACGGCCGCAAGGCUGAAACUUAA
RNAcentral lists this ribosomal RNA (837 nucleotides) under uncultured archaeon. RNAcentral's name for it is "bacterial SSU rRNA". It matches the Rfam family "Archaeal small subunit ribosomal RNA", at positions 21 to 859 of the family's 1478-position model. The record is from RNAcentral.